UCUGACAAUUUUCCAAAACCCUUAUUCCCUACUGAAUGAUUCUAUAAAAUUAUAGAAAACCUUAUGCUAGAACUAGUAACAAGAAGAAGACCUUCUCCCUAAAUGUAAACAUAUGCCGGACUGAACAAAUCACCGGAACUUAUCGCUGAUGAAAAAAUUAUAGCAACUUUUCAGGAAAAAACUAUUUCACCUAGCGUUAACCUCACACAAGAACAUUUCAGGAAAGAUUAAAAAAAGAGGAAGGAACUCGGCAAACAACUAACCCCGCCUGUUUACCAAAAACAUCGCCUUGUGAUAAAAUAUACAAGGUCUAGCCUGCCCAGUGAUUUAUUUUAACGGCCGCGGUACCCUAACCGUGCAAAGGUAGCACAAUCACUUGUUCCUUAAAUAGGGACUAGUAUGAACGGCAUCACGAGGGUUAUUCUGUCUCCCCCUUUUAAUCAGUGAAACUGAUCUCCCCGUGAAGAAGCGGGGAUAUUAAUAUAAGACGAGAAGACCCCAUGGAGCUUUAAACUCAGAAACACCCGCUAUUUUCAAAUCAAAUCAAUUAGCCUCCCUGAUUUCUAGUUUUCGGUUGGGGUGACCACGGAGUACAACACAACCUCCUUGAUGAACGGAACUACUUUCCUUAUUUAAGAACUACAAUUCCAAAAAUCAAUACAUUGACAAAAAUUGAUCCAAAUCAUUUUGAUCAACGAACCAAGUUACCCUGGGGAUAACAGCGCAAUCCAUUUCAAGAGCUCUUAUCGACAAAUGGGUUUACGACCUCGAUGUUGGAUCAGGGUAUCCCAGUGGUGCAGCCGCUACUAAAGGUUC
This 816-nucleotide ribosomal RNA is filed under the name Kalophrynus yongi. RNAcentral describes it as "partial 16S rRNA". It matches the Rfam family "Bacterial large subunit ribosomal RNA", at positions 1532 to 2574 of the family's 2925-position model. Lineage: Eukaryota; Metazoa; Chordata; Amphibia; Anura; Microhylidae. The record is from RNAcentral.